AUUGAACGCUGGCGGCAUGCUUUACACAUGCAAGUCGAACGGCAGCACGGGGGCAACCCUGGUGGCGAGUGGCGAACGGGUGAGUAAUAUAUCGGAACAUGUCCGGAAGUGGGGGAUAACGUAGCGAAAGUUACGCUAAUACCGCAUAUGCCCUGAGGGGGAAAGGAGGGGAUCGCAAGACCUUUCGCUUUCGGAGUGGCCGAUAUCGGAUUAGCUAGUAGGUGAGGUAAAGGCUCACCUAGGCGACGAUCCGUAGCUGGUCUGAGAGGACGACCAGCCACACUGGGACUGAGGCACGGCCCAGACUCCUACGGGAGGCAGCAGUGGGGAAUUUUGGACAAUGGGCGCAAGCCUGAUCCAGCCAUGCCGCGUGAGUGAAGAAGGCCUUCGGGUUGUAAAGCUCUUUCAGACGGAAAGAAAUCGCACUUAUUAAUACUAAGUGUGGAUGACGGUACCGUAAGAAGAAGCACCGGCUAACUACGUGCCAGCAGCCGCGGUAAUACGUAGGGUGCGAGCGUUAAUCGGAAUUACUGGGCGUAAAGCGUGCGCAGGCGGCUUUGUAAGACAGAUGUGAAAUCCCCGGGCUUAACCUGGGAACUGCAUUUGUGACUGCAAGGCUAGAGUGUAGCAGAGGGGGGUAGAAUUCCACGUGUAGCAGUGAAAUGCGUAGAGAUGUGGAGGAAUACCGAUGGCGAAGGCAGCCCCCUGGGCUAACACUGACGCUCAUGCACGAAAGCGUGGGGAGCAAACAGGAUUAGAUACCCUGGUAGUCCACGCCCUAAACGAUGUCAACUAGGUGUUGGGGAAGGAGACUUCUUUAGUACCGCAGCUAACGCGUGAAGUUGACCGCCUGGGGAGUACGGUCGCAAGAUUA
Molecule: ribosomal RNA, 874 nt
Filed under: uncultured bacterium
Lineage: Bacteria
Description: bacterial SSU rRNA
Rfam family: Bacterial small subunit ribosomal RNA
Source: RNAcentral